GACAUAUGUUUUUUUCUUUUUUUAAUCACCUAUGUGAUGUGCCUUUGUUCGCAUGUGUGUGCAUCCUGGCCCUGCCAAAAGUGGGGAUUGUAACAUAUCACUAAACUUAGUACCAAGGUGUUAUGAUUCUCCUUGUUUGCCUGGGCCCUGCAUAUAUUAGGUACUGUGACGUAUGGCUGAGACAAACACCUAGGGCACGAGAGCCUCCUGCCUGGGUCCUGCCCACAAGGAACCUUUUGGCUUAUCUCUGCAUCCAUGAACUAGGAGAUGUGACUCUUCUUUUCUGUCUGGGUUCUGCAAAAACAAGUGAUUGUGACAUAUCAUCAAACCCAGCAACUAGACGAUGUGAUUUUUCUUCCCUGCUUGAGCCCUGGAUAUGCUGUGUAUUGUGAUAUAUGGCUGGGUCCAACAUCAAGGAGAGAUUAUGACAUAUCUCUGGAACCAGAACCUUAGUGAUGUGACUCUUGUCUCCUGCUGAAGCCAUGCCCACACAAGGGAAAGUGACUCAUCACUGGACCCAGCACACAGGUGAUGUAAUUCUUCUGCCUUGUUUUUGUACCCAGGAGCCAUUGUAAUCCAUCUCUGGGCCCAUCAUUUAAAUGAUGUGACUAUCCUUUUCUUCCUGAGCCCUAUUCACAGGGAAAAUAGUGACACAUCUGUGGGCUUCUCACCGAAAUGAUGUGACUUUCCUUCCUGGGCUCACCUCUCAAGGGAAUUUUGACAUAUUACUGGACCAAGCACCUAGGUGAUGUGGCUCUGACAAACGAGAAAUUGUGAUGUACCACUGUUCCACACCUAAGAGAUCUGACUCUCUUUUCAUGAGCCCUGCAUUUAUUGUGUAUUGUGACAUAUGGCUUGGUCCAACGCCUAGGUGAUGUGACUCUCUACUUCUUCCUCGGCCAUGCCAAAGAAGAGGAUUGUGACAUAUCACUGGAUCCAGCACUUAGGUGAUGUAAAUCUUUUCUUUUGCUGAGCCAUGCAUAUUUUUGGUAUUGUGACAUGUAGCUGGACCGAACACCUACAGGACUGGAUCAGAGGCUACUUAAUAAGCCCUGCCCAUAGGCGGCCUUGUGACAUAUGUCUGCAUCUAUCACCAAAGUGAUGUGACUCUUUUUCUGCCUGCAUCCUGCACAUAGAGAAGAUUGUGACAUAUCGCUGGGCCCAGUAACCAGGUGAUGUGUCUUUUCUGGCAGGUCUUUUCCCACAGGGAGCAUUGUAAAAUAUCACUGGGCUCGGCCACCAGGUUAUGUGACCCUUCUGCCUGUGCCCUGCUUCCUGGAAAUGUGACAUUCCUCAUACAGCACCCAGGUGAUGUGACUCUUCUGCUCAUUUUCUACUUAUAGUUGGGAUUGUGACAAAUAUCCUGGCCCAACUCAUAGGUGCUAUGAUGAUUCCCGUACCUGGAAUCAGCCAAUAGGGAGAUAGUGUCUCUUGUAUUGUAGCCUAGGGAAACAAGUAAGAUCCUGGGCCUCCUCUUUGUAUGAAUGUCAUAAAGAGUUAU
RNAcentral lists this long non-coding RNA (1501 nucleotides) under Homo sapiens (human). RNAcentral's name for it is "non-protein coding lnc-ZNF676-1:3". The record is from RNAcentral. Lineage: Eukaryota; Metazoa; Chordata; Mammalia; Primates; Hominidae.